GACGAACGCUGGCGGCGUGCCUAAUACAUGCAAGUUGAGCGCUGAAGGUUGGUACUUGUACCAACUGGAUGAGCAGCGAACGGGUGAGUAACGCGUGGGGAAUCUGCCUUUGAGCGGGGGACAACAUUUGGAAACGAAUGCUAAUACCGCAUAAAAACUUUAAACACAAGUUUUAAGUUUGAAAGAUGCAAUUGCAUCACUCAAAGAUGAUCCCGCGUUGUAUUAGCUAGUUGGUGAGGUAAAGGCUCACCAAGGCGAUGAUACAUAGCCGACCUGAGAGGGUGAUCGGCCACAUUGGGACUGAGACACGGCCCAAACUCCUACGGGAGGCAGCAGUAGGGAAUCUUCGGCAAUGGACGAAAGUCUGACCGAGCAACGCCGCGUGAGGGAAGAAGGUUGUCGGAUCGUAAAACUCUGUUGGUAGAGAAGAACGUUGGUGAGAGUGGAAAGCACAUCAAGUGACGGUAACUACCCAGAAAGGGACGGCUAACUACGUG
This 497-nucleotide ribosomal RNA is filed under the name uncultured bacterium. RNAcentral's name for it is "partial 16S ribosomal RNA". It matches the Rfam family "Bacterial small subunit ribosomal RNA", at positions 28 to 507 of the family's 1533-position model. The record is from RNAcentral.